GACGAACGCUGGCGGCGUGCUUAACACAUGCAAGUCGAACGGAAAGGCCCUGCUUUUGUGGGGUGCUCGAGUGGCGAACGGGUGAGUAACACGUGAGUAACCUGCCCUUGACUUUGGGAUAACUUCAGGAAACUGGGGCUAAUACCGGAUAGGAGCUCCUGCUGCAUGGUGGGGGUUGGAAAGUUUCGGCGGUUGGGGAUGGACUCGCGGCUUAUCAGCUUGUUGGUGGGGUAGUGGCUUACCAAGGCUUUGACGGGUAGCCGGCCUGAGAGGGUGACCGGCCACAUUGGGACUGAGAUACGGCCCAGACUCCUACGGGAGGCAGCAGUGGGGAAUAUUGCACAAUGGGCGGAAGCCUGAUGCAGCAACGCCGCGUGCGGGAUGACGGCCUUCGGGUUGUAAACCGCUUUCGCCUGUGACGAAGCGUGAGUGACGGUAAUGGGUAAAGAAGCACCGGCUAACUACGUGCCAGCAGCCGCGGUGAUACGUAGGGUGCGAGCGUUGUCCGGAUUUAUUGGGCGUAAAGGGCUCGUAGGUGGUUGAUCGCGUCGGAAGUGUAAUCUUGGGGCUUAACCCUGAGCGUGCUUUCGAUACGGGUUGACUUGAGGAAGGUAGGGGAGAAUGGAACUCCUGGUGGAGCGGUGGAAUGCGCAGAUAUCAGGAGGAACACCAGUGGCGAAGGCGGUUCUCUGGGCCUUUCCUGACGCUGAGGAGCGAAAGCGUGGGGAGCGAACAGGCUUAGAUACCCUGGUAGUCCACGCUGUAAACGGUGGGUACUAGGUGUGGGGUCCAUUCCACGGGUUCCGUGCCGUAGCUAACGCUUUAAGUACCCCGCCUGGGGAGUACGGCCGCAAGGCUAAAACUCAAAGGAAUUGACGGGGCCCCGCACAAGCGGCGGAGCAUGCGGAUUAAUUCGAUGCAACGCGUAGAACCUUACCUGGGUUUGACAUGGAUCGGGAGUGCUCAGAGAUGGGUGUGCCUCUUUUGGGGUCGGUUCACAGGUGGUGCAUGGCUGUCGUCAGCUCGUGUCGUGAGAUGUUGGGUUAAGUCCCGCAACGAGCGCAACCCUUGUUCACUGUUGCCAGCACGUUAUGGUGGGGACUCAGUGGAGACCGCCGGGGUCAACUCGGAGGAAGGUGGGGAUGACGUCAAGUCAUCAUGCCCCUUAUGUCCAGGGCUUCACGCAUGCUACAAUGGCUGGUACAGAGAGUGGCGAGCCUGUGAGGGUGAGCGAAUCUCGGAAAGCCGGUCUCAGUUCGGAUUGGGGUCUGCAACACGACCUCAUGAAGUCGGAGUCGCUAGUAAUCGCAGAUCAGCAACGCUGCGGUGAAUACGUUCCCGGGGCU
This 1346-nucleotide ribosomal RNA is filed under the name uncultured bacterium. RNAcentral's name for it is "partial 16S ribosomal RNA". It matches the Rfam family "Bacterial small subunit ribosomal RNA", at positions 28 to 1381 of the family's 1533-position model. The record is from RNAcentral.